This is a long non-coding RNA of Chelonia mydas (Green sea turtle), 373 nucleotides long. RefSeq lists it as uncharacterized. The transcript has 3 exons. NCBI's taxonomy places the organism in Eukaryota, Metazoa, Chordata, Testudines, Cheloniidae. The record is from RefSeq and is a predicted model, not a curated record.
ACUUGCGAGCCAAGUCUAAAGGCUCUAUCACAGCUGCCCAAAGGGGCCCUCCCUAAGGGAAGGGAGAACCCAUCCCACAAGACAAUCAGAGAUGGAAGUAUUCCCCUUUCUCCUGCCUAUGGACCGUGGACAAUGAUUUUGCACUCUCACAGACCCAUUAUAUAGCGAUUACAAGACACCAAGCUCACUGGAGAAUUGUAAUUGAACAAGGAAACAAGGAUCCAUGGAGAAGCACACUAUCCAGGGGAGACCCUACACAGGAAAACACAAGCAACGGGGAUUAUCCUGUUUACAAGUGCAGACAAUGGAUUUUUGUACCUCAACUGUAGAGCGAGACAAACUCUGGAUCUUUCCACUAAGGCAGUAAGAGGAC